UUGGCUCAGAAGCAGCCACCAUUUAAAGAGUGCGUAAUAGCUCACUGGUCGAGAGACGCUGCGCCGAAAAUGUCCGGGGCUCAAGCACGGAACCGAAGCUAUGGCAUUGCGUAAGCAAUGGGUAGGGGAGCGUUCUUAUGGGGAAGAAGCAUUACCGUAAGGAGAUGUGGACACAUAAGAAGUGAGAAUGCCGGUAUGAGUAUCGAAAAGAAAGGUGAGAAUCCUUUCCACCGAAAGCCCGAGGGUUCCUGAGCAACGAUCGUCGUCUCAGGGUAAGUCGGGACCUAAGCCGAGGCACAGACGCAUAGGCGAUGGACAACAGGUUGAAAUUCCUGUACCGGAUGGAGUCAUUUGAGCAAUGGAGUGACGCAGGAGGGCACAUGAUCGCGCGACUGGAAGAGCGCGUCCAAGUGCGUAUGUUGAAUCGGAGGCAAAUCCCCGAUUCUGAAAGCAGAGACAUGAUGGGGAGUUAUAAGCGAUUAUGACGAACUCAUGGAUCCCACACUGCCAAGAAAAACUUCUAGCGAGACGAAAUCCGCCCGUACCGUAAACCGACACAGGUAGGCGGGGAGAGAAUCCUAAGGUGCGCGGGAAAACCCUCGUUAAGGAACUCGGCAAAUUGCAUCCGUAACUUCGGGAGAAGGAUGGCCCUGAGUAGGCGAAGUGCAGAAACGCACGGAACAGAAAAGGGUGGCAGAAAAGAGGCCCAAGCAACUGUUUACCAAAAACACAGGUGCCUGCGAAAGCGAAAGCUGAAGUAUAGGUGCUGACGCCUGCCCGGUGCUGGAAGGUUAAGGAGAGAGGUUAGCGCAAGCGAAGCUUUGAACUGAAGCCCCAGUGAACGGCGGCCGUAACUAUAACGGUCCUAAGGUAGCGAAAUUCCUUGUCGGGUAAGUUCCGACCCGCACGAAAGGUGUAACGAUUUGGGCACUGUCUCAACGAGGGACCCGGUGAAAUUGAAGUACCUGUGAAGAUGCAGGUUACCCGCGACUGGACAGAAAGACCCCAUGGAGCUUUACUGCAGCUUGAGAUUGAAUCCCGGUGGCAGACGCACAGGAUAGGUGGGAGGCUUUGAGAUAGUGACUUUGGUUGCUAUGGAGCCGACGUUGGGAUACCACCCUUCUGUUGCUGGGAUUCUAACGCGAAGAUUAACAACCUUGCGGACCAUCUCAGGUAGGCGGUUUGACUGGGGCGGUCGCCUCCGAAAGAGUAACGGAGGCGCCCAAAGGUUCCCUCAGGCCGGACAGAAACCGGCCGAAGAGUGCAAAGGCAGAAGGGAGCUUGACUGCGAGACAGACAAGUCGAGCAGAGACGAAAGUCGGGCUUAGUGAUCCGGUGGUACUGCGUGGAAAGGCCAUCGCUCAACGGAUAAAAGCUACCCUGGGGAUAACAGGCUAAUCUCUCCCAAGAGUCCAUAUCGACGGGGAGGUUUGGCACCUCGAUGUCGGCUCAUCACAUCCUGGGGCUGAAGUAGGUCCCAAGGGUUGGGCUGUUCGCCCAUUAAAGUGGUACGCGAGCUGGGUUCAAAACGUCGUGAGACAGUUUGGUUCAUAUCCAUCGCGGGCGCAAGAAGUUUGAGGGAGGCUGCUCCUAGUACGAGAGGACCGGAGUGGACGGAUCAACGGUGUACCAGUUGUCACGCCAGUGGCACGGCUGGAAAGCCGCAUCCGGAAAGGAUAAACGCUGAAAGCAUCUAAGCGUGAAGCCCGUCCCAAGAUGAGACUUCUCAUCAGCAAUGAGUAAGACCCCUUAAAGACGAUGAGGUUGAUAGGCUGUGAGUGGAAGAGCCGCGAGGCUUGGAGCGACGCAGUACUAAUAGGUCGAGGUCUUAACUUA
RNAcentral lists this ribosomal RNA (1836 nucleotides) under human gut metagenome. RNAcentral's name for it is "bacterial LSU rRNA". It matches the Rfam family "Bacterial large subunit ribosomal RNA", at positions 1101 to 2925 of the family's 2925-position model. The record is from RNAcentral.